AGCGAACGCUGGCGGCAGGCCUAACACAUGCAAGUCGUACGGACCCUUCGGGGUUAGUGGCGGACGGGUGAGUAACACGUGGGAACGUGCCUUUAGGUUCGGAAUAGCUCCUGGAAACGGGUGGUAAUGCCGAAUGUGCCCUUCGGGGGAAAGAUUUAUCGCCUUUAGAGCGGCCCGCGUCUGAUUAGCUAGUUGGUGAGGUAACGGCUCACCAAGGCGACGAUCAGUAGCUGGUCUGAGAGGAUGACCAGCCACACUGGGACUGAGACACGGCCCAGACUCCUACGGGAGGCAGCAGUGGGGAAUCUUGCGCAAUGGGCGAAAGCCUGACGCAGCCAUGCCGCGUGAAUGAUGAAGGUCUUAGGAUUGUAAAAUUCUUUCACCGGGGACGAUAAUGACGGCACCCGGAGAAGAAGCCCCGGCUAACUUCGUGCCAGCCGCCGCGGUAA
Molecule: ribosomal RNA, 449 nt
Filed under: uncultured bacterium
Lineage: Bacteria
Description: partial 16S ribosomal RNA
Rfam family: Bacterial small subunit ribosomal RNA
Source: RNAcentral